GUACUACCGAAAAGUCCCAGACUAGGACGAAACAGCUGUCCAGUAC
RNAcentral lists this non-coding RNA (46 nucleotides) under Trichobilharzia regenti. Lineage: Eukaryota; Metazoa; Platyhelminthes; Trematoda; Strigeidida; Schistosomatidae. The record is from RNAcentral.